ACCACAAACCGUGAGAUCAUGACCUGAGCCAAAGUCAGAUGCUCAACUGACUGAGCCACCCAGGUGCCCCUGAGCUUGAACUUUUAGAUUCAAACUGGUGGGAGUUUUUUUCCUUUAAUCAGCAUUAUUGAGGCAUAAUUUAUAUGGAAUUUUUAUGUUAAAAAAAGUAACAUCUUCAAUUUUGAUUUUGCUAGCUUAUAAAACAAAUUUUUAUCUCAAAAGGUAUGACUUUUAAGAAGGGGAUUUGUCAGAGGAUGAAUUGUCUUUUAUGCUGCGAAAUAGGCAAACAUGGGCCAUAAUGGAAUUUUAGAAGAACAGUUGUAUAGUUACGAAACGUGUGAGGGUGGAGAUAUUUUUUGUUGAAACACUCCUAGUGAUUAUUCCUUCUUGUAGAAACUUAAAGGCUUAAGUUUAAGGCUUAUUAGGAAAAAUACUUCUACUUCAUUUUAUGGAGAUUUAUAAUAUUAGUAACUCAUUUUUCACUUACAGAGCAUUAUUUUGAAACUUAAAGCUGUGUAGAUAGCUUAUUAUUUGGUGCUUAACUAUUUUCUGGCUGUAUAUGUCAUUACUGUUUACAGCGGUUUGAAAGAAGAUUUUUUAGAAAAGGCCUUCAUUUGUUAAUGGUUUAGAAGGGUCUUUUGAUACCUGCUUGCCACAAAUGCGGAAUUUAAUGAACUGUAGUAAAAGGCUGGUGUAAUUUUGACACAAGGUCACUUUGAUUUAAUGGUGAAGUGCGUGAAUAAAUAAACGAGAUUCCCAGUCCCUACUUAAUCUACAUGAAACUGGAGGCUUUGUAGAAUCAACAAGAGAAGGUUUCUGUUCAAUGAGACUUUGGUUUAGCAAGGGUGGUUUGGCAAGGGUGGAGCAGACAUGUGUGAUACAGAAUGAAUAGGAUACCUUCAUACUUCCCCACUCUCUGGGAGACGUAAUUGAUCAUGGUAGUCAGUUCCAUAGAGGCAACUGGUGACACAUGAGCAUUGUUACUGUGAUUUUCAAAUCUGUUUAUCCAAAGACUCCUGAUUAUCAUGUAUAAUUAGCAAUUUACCCAAACACGUGUCCUAUACUCCUUAAGUGCUAAGAAAUCCUUAGCCAUGUAUCACCAUCUGACAUAUAUUUGUUCAUUUGUUUAUUGAUUGUGUCUCCCCACUAGUGUAUAAGCUUCCUGAGGGCAGCAACUUUGUCGACUAUUGCAAAUUUCUAACUCCUAAGACUAUUUGGCAUAUGAUGAAUAUUGUAGAAUAUAUGGAAUUUCUACUUGCUCAUACUAAGGUUUGCAAGGCUAUGGGAAGAUGGAAUAUAUUGUUCCAUCUAUUGUUCUAAUUGCAUCCAGGACAUGAACAUGUUGUGUUUUCUGGAUGAGGUGCACAGUCCCAGAGAGUCUAACUGCAAUUUAUUAUUCACUAUGACUAGGCAUAAUUUAAAUUGUUUAGAAAAGCCAUGAAAAUCUUUGGGCUUCCUACCUAACUUACUUACUUUUAAGACAUAGGCUGGGCUGUUAUAGUAUAACCUAGGUAUGACUUUUUGCCUGUUAUUUUCCCCCCCCCCCCCCCCCCCCCGCAACCAGUAUUAUGAAUGGAGAAAUAGACUUUUGUUUCACCUAUAAAUCUAUAAAUAUUUAUACCAUCAUGUCACACAUUGUGGAAGACACUGGAAAACAAAAUAUUCCUGAAUUUAUUUUAACAGAGUAAAGGAUGAAUAUUGAUUGCUUAAAACAAAAAAGGGACACUCAGGUUAUAGUUGAGAUGAUACUCUUUUUUCAUGCAUCAAAUAUUUUCGGAUAUAGAGGUGAAAUUUUCUAGUAUCUCCAAUUCCCCAGACAACCUUAGACUGGUUUUCAGAGAAGAAAUUUGAGAAUGCUUUGCAUAGAGGUUUUUGCUCAAGUUAGGAGAUAAUUUUCUCAGGGUGAAACAAAUAGAACCAGAGAUUGAUGUUAGGAAAAUGCCCAUGGGUUGAGGGUGAGAGGACAAAACAAAUAGAAUCGAAGCUUGUUUGUGUUUUAAGAAGGCUGGAGAAGGACAAUAUAGCACUUCAGAAAGAAAAUACAAAUACCCUAGGAGUACAUGGUGGUAGUGUAUUAAUUCCUUAGCUACAUGUAGACUUUUAUUAGGUCACUUAUAACUAGGGUGACAUAUAAUUUAUAUUCCAAACUGGGUCACUUUUGAGAGUGAAAGGAUGUGCUAUUUGAAUGGGACACUGAGACAAUAGGUGUAAAACAGAACUGUUUCAGGAAAACCAGGACACUUGAUCACCUCCUACUAAUAACAUACUUUUCUCCAUACUUAGUCCCAGUUCCUUGGACCACAGAUAAUUUUUUUUCCUACAUAGUACUCUGAUCUGCAUUUGAGGAACUUGUCAAGCUUUGAUUCCUUUUUCUUGGUCUUGUUGGAAUGAAGGAAUUCUUUUCAUUUUUUCCUGCUCCCCUGGACUGUUCUUCUGGUUUACAGUCUUGAUGGAGGUAGGAUGAUGAUUCUGAAACUUCAGAUCUUCAAAGAAGGGAAGGAAAACACCUUUGUUUAUAUUGUGGAAGUGGUGUUUUUAUAUGUUGGAUCACCUGUAAUGCUUUCAUUUUGUUUUCCUAUAAAUAAAUAUUUUUUAUUCUUAUAUCAA
Long non-coding RNA from Lynx canadensis (Canada lynx), 2607 nucleotides. RefSeq lists it as uncharacterized. The record is from RefSeq and is a predicted model, not a curated record. The transcript has 2 exons. NCBI's taxonomy places the organism in Eukaryota, Metazoa, Chordata, Mammalia, Carnivora, Felidae.